GGGCAAUCUGCCCUGCACUCUGGGAUAACUCCGGGAAACCGGAGCUAAUACCGGAUACGACUCUCCAGGGCAUCCUGGGGGGUGGAAAGCUCCGGCGGUGCAGGAUGAGCCCGCGGCCUAUCAGCUGGUUGGUGGGGUGAUGGCCUACCAAGGCGACGACGGGUAGCCGGCCUGAGAGGGCGACCGGCCACACUGGGACUGAGACACGGCCCAGACUCCUACGGGAGGCAGCAGUGGGGAAUAUUGCACAAUGGGCGCAAGCCUGAUGCAGCGACGCCGCGUGAGGGAUGACGGCCUUCGGGUUGUAAACCUCUUUCAGCAGGGAAGAAGCGUGAGUGACGGUACCUGCAGAAGAAGCACCGGCUAACUACGUGCCAGCAGCCGCGGUAAUACGUAGGGUGCGAGCGUUGUCCGGAAUUAUUGGGCGUAAAGAGCUCGUAGGCGGCUUGUCGCGUCGGAUGUGAAAGCCCGGGGCUUAACCCCGGGUCUGCAUUCGAUACGGGCAGGCUAGAGUUCGGUAGGGGAGAUCGGAAUUCCUGGUGUAGCGGUGAAAUGCGCAGAUAUCAGGAGGAACACCGGUGGCGAAGGCGGAUCUCUGGG
Molecule: ribosomal RNA, 600 nt
Filed under: Streptomyces sp. CPB1-13
Lineage: Bacteria; Bacillati; Actinomycetota; Actinomycetes; Kitasatosporales; Streptomycetaceae
Description: bacterial SSU rRNA
Rfam family: Bacterial small subunit ribosomal RNA
Source: RNAcentral